CACCAAACCAUGCCACGCCCAGCAAGCCACACCCCCAGAACCGGUAGUAAAAUUUUGAAUCUCACCACUCUUAGGGCAUCUUUGGAUACUGUUGAUUUCCACGGAGUCUCUGAUAAUUUCUUCAGCGGAUCCCAAAUUAAUUAUAUGAAAGCAGUUAAUACUAAGACAGCUGAGUGGUUUGGCCGCCUUUUAGAAAGUAUUCCCAGUUUCCAGAGUGAGGUGUGGGAGGAGUAACAGAUGGGUAUUAACCCAGCCCCUUUGCCCUGGAGUCUUUUGAAGCCACGCCUCUGAUCCUCCUCUCGCUCUCCCAGAUUAACCUCAGACUCCAGCCCAGAAGGAGUGUUUCCUGACUCUCCCGCACUUUGGAAAUCUAGAUGUUUUUUAGUGUAAGUUUUUUCCUUUAGCAAUCUUUCUCUCACCAAGAAGCUUCCAGCGCUGCAUCUCUCCUCCAACGUGCUCAGCGCUACUAGCGAAGGCCUUGCUGCCCGGCUAGCACGCGCGCGCUCCCCAAGUGGCCGGACGGUCGUGUAAAAGAGGAGGAAGCCUCCACACCGAUCGGAGUGCGUGGAGAGGCCUUCGGACUGCAGCCGGCUGAUCAGGCUCCGGAGGACCAGGGAUCCACAGGGGAUUGCCCCACCGCUCUCCAGCUUCAGGCAAGCUCGGGUCGCAGGCUGACGGCCGCCAUUUUGAAAGGAGCACGUGGCUGAGCGCAUGACCGGCAAUCAUCUACGGUAGCCGGGAGCGCUCAAGAGGCACUGAGGAGGCCGGAAGAGGCCUAGAGCGGCCCCCACUCUGCCGGUGGUUCCGCAGAGGGGCCUGAUUUUCAGUGCAGGCCGGUGCUCGAGCCGUGGAUCGGCGGCUGGAAGAAGAAGCAGCUGAGCUGGCAGAUACCGAGGAGAGAUGAGCGGGAAAAAGAGCACUCCAGCUCCCGGAGGUGGACAACCCGAUCGCCACUCUAGCCUCAGCCUCAUCCGCGGUGACGGGAGACAUUGCAAACUGCCUUAAGCCAGAGAAUAAGAAGACGGAAACUGUGAUACGUAAAACAUUCCAGGCAAUAACCUGGGCCAUUAGGGCGGCCGCUUCUGCUUCCUUUUUUAACAGAUCCACGGUGUUGUGGCUGGAACAGCUGAGAGACAGAACACCAGCCACGGAGGUGCGGCUGCUGCAAGCCAUUUCGAAGGUGCUGGCAGCCACACAAUUCUCUGCGGACGCCACCCUGGAUGCAGUUAAGUAUGUGUCCCGAGCCUUAUCUUCCUCCGUAGCGUCCAGGCGCUUACUGUGGUUGCGCCACUGGCAGGCAGAGUCCCGAGCCAAAUGGCACCUUGCAGGAGCAGAUUAUGUCAGGGACAAGCUGUUCGGUGCCUUGCUGGACCCGCUUCUGGUGGAGUACAAAAACAAGAAGAAGGUUCUCCUAGCCACGACCAGACGGUCGGAUAACUGACACGCCCCCUACCCCAGGAGAACAUCCUUCCGCCAGCCUGAUUCGGACGCUCAGACUUACAGGUACCAGUCCCCCAGGUUCCACAGACAGGGGGACAGACAGUUUUUUAGGGACAGAUUCAGGGGCCAGCAGCAGGGCAAGCAGCCCUUUCGAGGAGGAGGCGGUCGCCCAUUCCGCAGGUUCAAGUGAUCCAACCCCAUUGGUGAUCGCCUCUCCCUUUUCGCGGAUGCCUGGGAACGCAUCACCUCUGACGAGUGGGUCCUCCAGACGGUUAAGCUCGGGUUACACCUGGAGUUCCGCUCGCAAUCCCCUAACAGGUUCUGCACCUUCGCCUCCUCUGCUGACCUGGCCAAACGGGCCAUUAAGACUAGGGCCAUCAAACAUCUUCUGGAUAUCAAGGCCAUUGAAGAAGUCCCAGAGGGGGAGAGAGCUUCCGGAUUCUAUUCUAACCUGUUUCUGGUUCCCAAGAGCUCAGGAGGGUGGAGAGCUAUCCUGGAUCUUAAACAACUCAAUUCCAGGGUAGUCGACCGUAUAUUCAAGAUGGCUUCCUUGAAAUCCAUCUUGGAAGGCAUCCGACAGGGCGACUUCAUGGUUUCCAUCGACCUUACGGAGGCCUACCUCCACAUCAGAAUCGCCCCAGAACAUCACAGGUUCCUUAGGUUCUCCCAUGAGGAAAAUCACUUCCAAUAUAGGGCCCUUCCCUUCGGGCUGGCCUCGGCCUCCAGGACCUUUACCAAGUUGUUGGCUGCAGCCGCAGGUCACCUGCGUUCCCUACCAGUCAGUCUAUUUUGCUAUCUAGAUGACAUCCUAGUCCUAGCCAGGUCCCCAGCCACGGCCAGACAGGAUCUGGGGACCACCAUUGACACCCUCAGGUCCCUGGGGUUCUCUAUCAACCUAGAGAAGAGCCAGCUGGUCCCAUCUACCCGGCUCCAACACCUCGGAUCUAUUAUAGAUUCGGUGUCUGGGGAGGUGUUCCUUCCCCAGGAGCGAAAGGACAGUAUUGUGUAGCUGAUUCAUGAAGUUCGUAAAUUACGCUCUGUCCCUGUAGUUCUUCUUUCCAGGCUCCUUGGGAAAUUCAUUUCUUGUAUAGGGAUCGUGCCUUGGGCUCGCCUACACGCCAGGGAGCUGCAGUGGUUCCUGCUUCCAUACCAGAAGGCGGGGACGAGCGACGCCAGAUUCAAGAUCCAAGUGUCGCCCCAGGUGCUGCUCUCAUUCCGUUGGUGGCUGACUCCAGCACUGAGCAAGGGAUCCCUCUUCAAGGAGCCAGCGAGGAAGGUACUCACGACGGACGCGAGCCUGUUCGGCUGGGGAGCACACUUGGAAGCUCAGAUAGCCCAGGGACGCUGGACUCCAACAGAUCUGCACAACAACAUCAACUGGUUGGAGCUCAGAGCCAUCCACUUGGCCCUACGACACUUCAAGACCACGGUCACCGGUCAUCACAUCCUGGUCCUGACGGACAACAUGACAGCCAAAGCCCACGUGAACAGGCAAGGGGGCACCCACUCCAAGGCCCUUCACGACGAGGCCCUCCGGUUAGGCAACUGGGCAGAGAGACAUCGCCAGUCCAUCAGAGCGGAACACAUCCCCGGGACGGAGAACCAGCAAGCAGAUUGGCUCAACAGGGAGACGAUCAACAACGGAGAGUGGCAGCUCCAUCCCAGCAUCUUCCAGCGGAUCUGCGAAAGGUUCGGACAACUGACGGUGGAUCUCUUCGCAACUCCAGCGAAUGCCCAGCUGCCGAACUUCGUAGCGAGGUUCCCCUCCAGAGGAGCCAUGGACACGGACGCCCUCCGCUGCAGAUGGCCACCAGAACUACUUUACGCCUUUCCCCCCCUUCCCCUCAUUCCCGGGGUUCUGAGGAGGCUCGUGUCAGAAGAGGCAGAGAUGAUUCUAGUGGCUCUACAUCAGGGGUCUCUGGAGCAUCCGGAUCCGGAGUGGCUCCAUCUGACUGCCUGGCGAUUGAGCGGGAACAGCUAAGAGAGGCCCAAUUUUCCUCCAAGGUCAUUAGGACCAUCGAGGCUUCCAGGAGGCAAUCUGCCACCCGCAUUUACAACGCCUCCUGGGUGGCUUUUGCUGACUGGUGCAAAACAAGGGACAUUCAACCUGCCUCGGCCUCAGUACCUCAGGCCCUGGACUUCCUAUAGGAAGGUCUGGAGAAGGCCUCGCCCCCAGCACUCUUAGGAAACAGGUCUCGGCCAUUUCCACCAUUCUGCGGGGGGUGGACGCUCCACCCUUAUCCCAACAUCCGAUCCUCAGGCGCUUCCUCAAGGGAGC
Molecule: long non-coding RNA, 3718 nt
Organism: Thamnophis elegans (Western terrestrial garter snake)
Lineage: Eukaryota; Metazoa; Chordata; Lepidosauria; Squamata; Natricidae
Exons: 2
Source: RefSeq, a predicted model, not a curated record